CCCUUAGAUGUCCGGGGCCGCACGCGCGCUACACUGAAGGAAUCAGCGUGGCUUUCUCCCUGACCCGAAAGGGUUGGGAAACCCGUUGAAUCUCCUUCGUGAUAGGGAUUGGGGCUUGAAAUUGUUCCCCAUGAACGAGGAAUUCCCAGUAAGCGCGAGUCAUAAGCUCGCGUUGAUUACGUCCCUGCCCUUUGUACACACCGCCCGUCGCUACUACCGAUUGAAUGGCUUAGUGAGGCCUCAGGAUCCGCGCUUAAUGUGUGGAGAAUUUGGACAAACUACGUCAUUUAGAGGAAGUAAAAGUCGUAACA
Molecule: ribosomal RNA, 311 nt
Filed under: uncultured eukaryote
Lineage: Eukaryota
Description: partial 18S ribosomal RNA
Rfam family: Eukaryotic small subunit ribosomal RNA
Source: RNAcentral